GAAAACUUUGUUUGACUGAAAAGGAAAUUUACGCUAGAGAAUGUACUGAAACAACAUGUAAAGAACACAACAGAUAAAGUUUGGCAAGGCUACUUGAGUAGAGAUUUGACAAACGCUCUAGCAAGGUUGAUUCUCUGCUUCUAUAUAAUUAUUAUCUGCAUCGUGUGUGUUAUAUACAUAGAAUUUGCUUCAUACCACUUGUAGAGAUUACACAAACGCUUUGGCAAGGCUACUUGACCAGCCAAAGGCUAUAGUUUUUAAACCAUGCCUACAUAAUAGCACUUUGUCUUUGUCUGGUUAAGCUGUUCAGCGGUGUCUUCAGUAGCGGUCAGAGAAGCUCCAUCUGCUGUCACUGUCAACCUAACACAACAAAAAGAAAUUUAGGUACAUCAAAGAAAGAUGGGUGUAUACAGGAAACAGAAGGCAGAAAAGGAGCAGCCCAAGGCUAAGCUAAUCGGCGUCUUGAUUUUAAUUUCUCUUGACAGGAUUGGUGAAUAAAACACGUGUGGCACCAUGGGUAUUGCAAGAUGAUUUACUAUUGAAAAGAGAAAGAGCACGAAUCAAAGAUUUAGUACAAAAAAGCAAGACGAAUUGAAAUCAAAAGCCAAGUCCAGACAUAGUACCCUGCACCUGCAGCUGAAGGGGUAGCAUUGUUCAUUUUUUAAGUCAGUGUCCAUGACUACAUACACAAAUGCAGAUGGUCAGAAAAGAAAUAAAUUGGAGACCAGCAAGUUGUGUGGAUCAGCACAAAUGUAGGAUACACAGCUUAUUUAUAUACCUCAGUUGGUGGUGGAUCAUCACAUAUGCAGAGCAUCGUAAGAGUAUAAUGAAACAAAGCUAAUGCAUCAACAGUGAGAAAGGAAGGGAGCAAACCUUGGUGAACAGACCAAGGAAGAAGCAUAUGUGGUCAGAACUAAAAAGAUCAUAUAGCCUACUCCAACAUGGUUGAAUAGAUGGAUCCCAAGAAUUUUUUUUACAAAUCUACAACAACACAGCCAGAUAUCAAGAUUCUUAGAACGAAUGCGUAAACUAAAAAACCCAAAAAGAAUCAUAUCCCAUUCCAAAAGUACUAUAUAAACAUAUCAAAACUGUGAGGACAAACAUCUAAACCAUAAGACCAAACAAACAAUCUGACCCAUAAACAAAUAAAGAACACUACUAACAUGACAAAACAUAAAAAUAGCCAUCAAGCAUGCCCAAAAUAUAACUCAUUUUAACCUCCUCAAAAGAUUGCCUAAUUGAAUGUGAAAAUAAAAUAGCUAUAUCUAUCAGAUAGCAAAGUUAAGUAGACCCGACUCAGUUGGCCACGGACAGAGAGAACUUUGAAACCAAGAUUUCUUCCCUGUCAGCUCGUGCACUACUGUAACAUGUGAGUAGGAACAGGAUGACACCAGGUUGCAAUCAAGGACCACUGAAUUAUAAGAAUAAAAAAUAAAUAAAAGAAACUACAUACUGAGAAAACCCGAACAAUUCGGCAAUCCAUUCCAAGACACAAUAAAUUCACAAGCCCAAUUAGCAUUAUACCUCACAGCUGGCACAACAAUGGUCACAAAACUUUCAUAUCCUGGCACAGAGCAUCCAACUCUCAGUCCGCACCCUGCAUGCACCCGAGCAGAACCAGGUCAAAAAAUGGAG
RNAcentral lists this long non-coding RNA (1635 nucleotides) under Triticum aestivum (bread wheat). RNAcentral describes it as "long non-coding RNA (TAES_LNC006840)". Lineage: Eukaryota; Viridiplantae; Streptophyta; Magnoliopsida; Poales; Poaceae. The record is from RNAcentral.